UACGGGUGGAGCAAGCGUUGUUCGGAUUUACUGGGCGUAAAGGGCGCGUAGGCGGCCAGCACAAGUCAGUUGUGAAAUCUCCGGGCUUAACUCGGAAAGGUCAACUGAUACUGUGCGGCUAGAGUGCAGAAGGGGCAACUGGAAUUCUCGGUGUAGCGGUGAAAUGCGUAGAUAUCGAGAGGAACACCUGCGGCGAAGGCGGGUUGCUGGGCUGACACUGACGCUGAUGCGCGAAAGCCAGGGGAGCAAACGGG
This 254-nucleotide ribosomal RNA is filed under the name uncultured bacterium. RNAcentral describes it as "partial 16S ribosomal RNA". It matches the Rfam family "Bacterial small subunit ribosomal RNA", at positions 524 to 776 of the family's 1533-position model. The record is from RNAcentral.